Molecule: ribosomal RNA, 1497 nt
Filed under: Triticum aestivum (bread wheat)
Lineage: Eukaryota; Viridiplantae; Streptophyta; Magnoliopsida; Poales; Poaceae
Description: partial small subunit ribosomal RNA
Source: RNAcentral
AUGGGGAGCGCAGCAGCGGACGCGCUAUUGCCACUGGACCCCGAGACGUUCGCCGCCGAAUCGCACGCCGUGGUCGACUUCCUCGACGGGUACUACCGCAACAUCCAGAGCUACCCUGUCCGGCCUGAUGCCGAGCUAGGGCGCCUCCGGACGCUUCUACCCGACGCGGCCCCCGAGGAUGGCGAGCCGGUGGACGUAGUACUGGAGGACGUGCGGCGGCACAUUGUCCCGGGGUUGAUGCACUGGCAGAGCCCCAGCUUCUUUGCAUACUAUCCAAUGAACGCGAGCACGGCCGGGUUCGCCGGUGAGAUGCUCUCCGCCGGCCUCAACGUGGUGCCGUUCGCGUGGGCUGCCUCGCCGGCUGCAACCGAGCUCGAGGCCGUCGUGGUGGACUGGAUGGCGAAGCUGGUGGGCCUCCCGGAACGCUUCCUCUUCUCUGGUGGCGGCGGGGGCGUGCUGCAAGGGAGCACCUGCGAGGCCGUGGUGUGCACGCUCGUAGCCGCGCGCGAUCGCGCGCUGAUCAUGCUCGGUGGCCAUGAGGGCAUCCUGCGGCUGGUGGUCUAUGCCUCCGAUCAGAGCCACUCCACUUUCCAGAAGGGCGCGAGGAUCGUAGGGAUCCCACCGGCCAACUUCCGCGUCAUCCAGACAUCGGCGGCGUCGAGUUACGGCCUCACCGCGGACAGUGUCCGCCGCGCUGUGGAUGCUGACGUGGCCAGCGGGCUUGUGCCGUUGUACCUGUGUGCCACUGUCGGCACGACCGGGCUUGGCGCCGUCGAUCCACUGCGCGAGCUGGGCGAGGUGGCCAGACGAUACGACAUGUGGUUACAUGUCGACGCCGCGCACGCAGGUAGCUCUCUGAUCUGCCGCGAGUUCCAGGAUUGCCUUGACGGCGCCGAGCUUGCAGACUCCGUGAGCAUGAACCCGCACAAGUGGUUCCUCACCAACAUGGAGUGCUGCUGCCUGUGGGUGGCGAGCCCGGCCGCACUUACAUCCGCACUCUCCAGCAACCCAGAAUACCUCAACAACAUCAGCACCGAAAAUGCAGCAGCAAUGGACAUGGUCGACUACAAGGACUGGCAGAUCGCAUUAUCGCGCCCUUUCCGCGCCAUGAAGCUGUGGGUGGUCUUGCGCCGCUACGGCGCUGUGGCCAUGCGAGCAUACAUACGGAGACACAUCGAUAUGGCCAGGUGGUUCGAGCUGGAGCUGGAGGCCGACGAGAGGUUCGAGGUGGUCGUGCCAAGGAGGUUCUCCCUCGUGGCGUUCCGCCUCCGCCCAAGGCACGAGGGCGACGACGUGGAGGCCUUGAACCGCAGGCUACUCAUGGCCAUCAACUCCAGUACUGGGCGGGCCUUCCUGACACACUUUGUCGUGGAUAACAAGUUCAUUAUCCGUCUGGCCGUGGGCGGGGCCAUGACGGAGAUGCAACACGUCCGGGCUGGAUGGGUGCUUGUUCAGGAGAAGGCAAAGGAAGUAGGCGCCACUCCGGGGCGUUACUAA